This 409-nucleotide ribosomal RNA is filed under the name uncultured Streptomyces sp. Its description in RNAcentral is "bacterial SSU rRNA". It matches the Rfam family "Bacterial small subunit ribosomal RNA", at positions 355 to 776 of the family's 1533-position model. The record is from RNAcentral. Lineage: Bacteria; Bacillati; Actinomycetota; Actinomycetes; Kitasatosporales; Streptomycetaceae.
UGGGGAAUAUUGCACAAUGGGCGCAAGCCUGAUGCAGCGACGCCGCGUGAGGGAUGACGGCCUUCGGGUUGUAAACCUCUUUCAGCAGGGAAGAAGCGAAAGUGACGGUACCUGCAGAAGAAGCGCCGGCUAACUACGUGCCAGCAGCCGCGGUAAUACGUAGGGCGCAAGCGUUGUCCGGAAUUAUUGGGCGUAAAGAGCUCGUAGGCGGCUUGUCACGUCGGAUGUGAAAGCCCGAGGCUUAACCUCGGGUCUGCAUUCGAUACGGGCUAGCUAGAGUGUGGUAGGGGAGAUCGGAAUUCCUGGUGUAGCGGUGAAAUGCGCAGAUAUCAGGAGGAACACCGGUGGCGAAGGCGGAUCUCUGGGCCAUUACUGACGCUGAGGAGCGAAAGCGUGGGGAGCGAACAGG